Molecule: ribosomal RNA, 500 nt
Filed under: uncultured bacterium
Lineage: Bacteria
Description: bacterial SSU rRNA
Rfam family: Bacterial small subunit ribosomal RNA
Source: RNAcentral
GACGAACGCUGGCGGCGUGCUUAACACAUGCAAGUCGAGCGGGAUCCAACCGGUGGCAACACCGGGGAAGAUCUAGCGGCGAACGGGUGAGUAACACGUGAGCAACCUGCCCCGAAGACUGGGAUAACACCGGGAAACCGGUGCUAAUACCGGAUGUCGUCAUUAGGCCGCAUGACCUGAUGAUGAAAGGAUUCAUCGCUUCGGGAGGGGCUCGCGGGCUAUCAGCUUGNGGUGGGGUAACGGCCUACCAAGGCGACGACGGCUAGCUGGUCUGAGAGGACGACCAGCCACACUGGGACUGAGACACGGUCCGGACUCCUACGGGAGGCAGCAGUGGGGAAUAUUGGACAAUGGGGGCAACCCUGAUCCAGCGACGCCGCGUGGGUGAAGAAGGCCUGCGGGUUGUAAAGCCCUUUCGGUGGGGAAGAAAAGUCUCGACCUAAUACGUCGGGACCUUGACGUAACCCACUAAAGAAGCACCGGCUAACUCUGUGCCAGCA